CUUUCAAAGUGCUUUUUGUUAUCCUCAGUAGUGUCUGCAACAUCCCUGGUGGGGGUCAGGGGGCGGGGACCCUAACAACCUCCACCCCCAGGUUGCACUGGCUGGCCUCUGAGUCAGGCCAAACCACCCUGGGCCAGCGUUGCCGCCAGUAGUUUUUCCUCCUUGUGGACCCUCCUCCCAGUGCCUGAUGUCAGCCCUAGGGGACACAUCUUCCUAGCAAGGUGUCAUUGCCACUUUGAGCAGUACCUUCCAGGGGACUUCUUUGUUUCUUCUUUCCAAGCCACUGGAGGAUCUGAGCACCAAGGGCUGCCCAGAGCCAAGGAUGGUGGGAGAUGCCAGAGAAAUGUCCUACAGAUAUACUGCAUUGCCUGCUCUGCCCUGGGGGCCAGCCUGUUCUGCCCUGGGGGACAGCCUGCUCUGCCCUGGAGACCCUCAAGCAUGCAACUGGGUCACUUCCGAGGACCUGAGUCUUCUUUGUCGGGUUGGCAUGCCCUGCCCUCCCUAGGGAUCUCCCUUCACCCUUGUGCCCACCACCCUGCAGGGGUCUUCUGAGUCACAGCUUUAUCCCACCACGACCACAGGGAGCCAGGCACGCAGUGACUUGCUGCCAUCACACGCCAGGUCAAGACGUUGACCAGGUGUCCUGAGGAGUCCUCGGGUCCUGUCUAUCAGCUAUGGGGCCACCAGCAUCAUGUCACCCCCUUGAGUUCACAGAGCCUCUUAGGUAUGAUUAGCACUGGAGAGUGACCCUGGG
RNAcentral lists this long non-coding RNA (754 nucleotides) under Marmota monax (woodchuck). The record is from RNAcentral. Lineage: Eukaryota; Metazoa; Chordata; Mammalia; Rodentia; Sciuridae.